CUGCUUCUACUUUCUGUAUGGAGCUGGGAGCGUCUGCCUGUUGGAUGCCCGAAGAGCGUCAGGUUUGAUCCUUGGUAUGCAGAUGAACAUGACGAAUUACGGCGCCCCACGUGGGCUUACAAGUGGGAUAUCGUUUCCGAGAUGACGAACGAUGUCAAUCUCAUGUACCAAAAGUACAUUGCCGAGUUGGACACGAUUACGCCUGAGCAGGUAAGGAGGUCAUUACUUUAG
Molecule: ribosomal RNA, 231 nt
Filed under: Triticum aestivum (bread wheat)
Lineage: Eukaryota; Viridiplantae; Streptophyta; Magnoliopsida; Poales; Poaceae
Description: partial small subunit ribosomal RNA
Source: RNAcentral